Molecule: long non-coding RNA, 129 nt
Organism: Thalassophryne amazonica
Lineage: Eukaryota; Metazoa; Chordata; Actinopteri; Batrachoidiformes; Batrachoididae
Exons: 3
Source: RefSeq, a predicted model, not a curated record
CACAGUGUGAGUAUCUUUAGCUUCCUAUACAUUUUUGAGAGGUUUAUCGGUUUAGCUUUAUAAAAGACAACUUUUCAGUUAGCUGAUUAGCUGUUAUCAAAGCUAACUUUUUGUUUAUCUGUGCCUACC